RNAcentral lists this ribosomal RNA (473 nucleotides) under uncultured bacterium. RNAcentral's name for it is "bacterial SSU rRNA". It matches the Rfam family "Bacterial small subunit ribosomal RNA", at positions 29 to 524 of the family's 1533-position model. The record is from RNAcentral.
AUUGAACGCUGGCGGCAUGCCUUACACAUGCAAGUCGAACGGUAACGCGGGGCAACCUGGCGACGAGUGGCGAACGGGUGAGUAAUGUAUCGGAACGUGCCCAGUUGUGGGGGAUAACUGCUCGAAAGAGCAGCUAAUACCGCAUACGACCUGAGGGUGAAAGCGGGGGAUCGCAAGACCUCGCGCAAUUGGAGCGGCCGAUAUCAGAUUAGGUAGUUGGUGGGGUAAAGGCUCACCAAGCCGACGAUCUGUAGCUGGUCUGAGAGGACGACCAGCCACACUGGGACUGAGACACGGCCCAGACUCCUACGGGAGGCAGCAGUGGGGAAUUUUGGACAAUGGACGCAAGUCUGAUCCAGCCAUGCCGCGUGCGGGAAGAAGGCCUCGGUGUAACGCUUGUCAGGGACGAAGCGAAAGUGACUGUACCUGCAGAAGAAGACACCGGCUAACUACGUGCCAGCAGCCGCGGUAAU